GUUCAAUUUUUAUGUGUUAAUGUAAAUCUGAGUGGUAAUAUAGUAGCAGCUGGAGGAAGAGGUAAUGAAUUUAUUGUAUACAUUUGGAAUGUGCAAACUGCACAUUGUGUUGAUAAAUUAUAUGGACAUACUGCUCCUAUCAUCAAAAUUUGUUUUAGUACUAGUUUAAAAUCAGAGGGUGUCAUAGCAACCUGUUCUAGUAGUAAAAAAGUGUUAAUAUGGGAUUUGUAUGUACGUAGAAAUAAAGGAAAUAAAAUAGAUGAAUUAGGUAAUAAUCAAUCUAUAUCUUGUAUGUGUUUUGAUCCUCGAGGAAAUGACAUUUUAGCUGUUUGUACAUUAGGAUGUAAAAUUAUAUUUUUUGAUGUCAAUAUUCAAGAAAUAAUUGGUACUAUAGAAGGUGGAAGGGAUAUUCAAAGUGGUAGGUUACUUGGAGAAAAGUGCUCAAACAUACCUUUGAGUAAAAAAUAUAAAAAAAGGUUAAUAAAAAAAGAAGCUAAAGAUGGUAUAAAAAAUAGUGGAUCGUUAAGAUCAUCUUAUCAUAAUUUUAGUAAAAAAGAUAAUGACGAAGUAGAUGAAUAUAUUUAUGAAGAUGACUUAGAAGAUGAAGGUAACAAUAUAUUUUCUAAUUUAAAUGUAUAUUUCACUUGUAUAGAUUAUAUACAUAAUGGUAAUUAUAUUAUUGGAUGUACAAAUAAAAGUAUUGCUUUGUAUAUAUAUGAUACUAAUUUAUAUUUGUUAAUAAAAAUGAUUAAUUUAACAACAAACUAUUGCAUUGACGGUAUGAGUCGUGAAGUUUCUACUCGUUAUUUAACAAAAGAAGGAAAAAACAUAUACGAAUGCGAUUUAAGUAAUGACGAAGGUGAUAUUUUUGAUGAUAAUUUAAAAAUGGCUAUGAAACGUAAACAAAGACAGGAUAUAGGAAUAUUAGCUUUACCAGGACAAAUAGAUAAUAUGUACUUAAAUAAUAAAUUUAAAAAAUUUAAAUUUAUUUUAAAUUAUUUAAAUAUAUCAGCUGAUGAUAGACAUAUAGCUGUUGCUACU
This 1041-nucleotide long non-coding RNA is filed under the name Piliocolobus tephrosceles (Ugandan red Colobus). RNAcentral's name for it is "lncRNA (ENSPTEG00000013949.1)". The record is from RNAcentral. Lineage: Eukaryota; Metazoa; Chordata; Mammalia; Primates; Cercopithecidae.